RNAcentral lists this ribosomal RNA (459 nucleotides) under uncultured bacterium. RNAcentral describes it as "partial 16S ribosomal RNA". It matches the Rfam family "Bacterial small subunit ribosomal RNA", at positions 338 to 795 of the family's 1533-position model. The record is from RNAcentral.
CCUACGGGAGGCAGCAGUGAGGAAUAUUGGUCAAUGGGCGAGAGCCUGAACCAGCCAAGUCGCGUGAGGGAGUACUGCCCUAUGGGUUGUAAACCUCUUUUGUCGGGGAGCAAAAGCCGGACGUGUCCGGCUGUGAGAGUACCCGAAGAAAAAGCAUCGGCUAACUCCGUGCCAGCAGCCGCGGUAAUACGGAGGGAGCAAGCGUUGUCCGGAUUUACUGGGUGUAAAGGGUGCGUAGGCGGCCCUGCAAGUCAGAAGUGAAAUCCAUGGGCUUAACCCGUGAACUGCUUUUGAAACUGGAGGGCUUGAGUGAAGUAGAGGCAGGCGGAAUUCCCGGUGUAGCGGUGAAAUGCGUAGAGAUCGGGAGGAACACCAGUGGCGAAGGCGGCCUGCUGGGCUUUAACUGACGCUGAAGCACGAAAGCGUGGGUAGCAAACAGGAUUAGAUACCCGAGUAGUC